RNA transcript from Pangasianodon hypophthalmus (striped catfish), 3554 nucleotides. It is a transcript of the gene named F-box only protein 47, with no coding region annotated. Lineage: Eukaryota; Metazoa; Chordata; Actinopteri; Siluriformes; Pangasiidae. The transcript is spliced from 6 exons. The record is from RefSeq and is a predicted model, not a curated record.
GCACCAUUCUGAUCAGGUGUCUUCAAAAAAAGUCUUCAUUCUUCAUGUAACACGUUUUGAUAUGCAAAUAGUCAUAACAAUGAAUUUGCAGAUAGGUCCAUGACGUCCUCUGGCGACAUUUAGUGACCUUUUUGAGGAUGCGUUAGCUACCCCGGAAAAAAAAAGCUGGCGACAGUCUUCUGAUCUCGGUUUCUGCAAGUGGAAACUCCUGGUUUCCCCGAACUGUGUGUUAACAGAACAGGGCUAGUAUGUAAAACCCGCUUUAGUAGUAAGGUGUGUAUUUUGUUACUCGUGUAAUAGAAGAAGCAGAAGCAGUCGCGCGCGUGAGCAGUAUAAAUCAGUAACCUGGCGGUUCUGCUGCAGUUUAAGGGGUUUUUAAGGCACUUUGCUGUUAUAAAAAGGCCACAGCUAACACAACAGUAACACAACAGUUUAGUGGGUGAUGUUCCAUUAUUAUAUGUAGCCUGUUUAUUACUUUAUCUAAUCAUUUAUCAUCGGUCACAAUAUUUUCAAGCGAAAGUCGAGGCUUAGGUUGGAUUAUGAAGAAAUUUACCUCAACUUAUACAUCGCACCGUAGAAGCUCUAGACGGCGGCAAAGUGCCGUUAAACCCAGUAACACCAAAAGCCAAAGGAUGUCCGGUCAGGGAUUCUUCGAGAAACUGCCAGCUGAGGUGUUUGAUUUAAUAUUAAAUCACCUGUCAGCUGUAGAAGCCAGUGUUUUCAGCAUGGUAUCAAAAAGCAUCAGUAACUGCAUCAUAAGGCAUCUGUCCACUUCGGCCUGGAGGAACCAGAUGAUUUUGCAGAAGUUUCACUGCACAUCACCCAAAGCUGAACACUUGAACACAAUACUUGAUCAUUUCAGAUCCCUUGGUUUACUGUUCAAGAGAUGCACUCUGUUACUACCAACCAAGGAAAGACUGAAGUUUAUUUAUAACACAUUUUCACAGAUCCCCUGCUUCAGGAUCGAGCAAUGUGAUGUGCUACCUUUGUGCCAAGGUUUUGCUUGCUAUGGAGUGUUCUUGCAGGCAAGUAGGCUGGGUUAUAGAUUAGAUUUUGCAGUUGGAAAGUGCCUGGAAAUGUUAAUUUGACUCAUUGAAAUGUUCACUGAAAGUUUUAGGCAGCGUCUGAGAGGAAACAACAAACAGUUAACUGUAACAAAACAGACAGUAAUAUACACCGUGGGCAUGCUGCAGAAAUAGGUUAUCCCCACAAGGCCAAUCUUUAUUGGCUUUAGUAAAUUCGUCACAUUCGUAAUUUAAUUAAGCAGGCCGCUAGCCCUGACAUACAUUUGUAGUGAAAGUAAUGCUUCAGAGUGAUGUACAGUAUAUGUGCAGUUUGAGAGAAGAACCAGGGUUUAUUUAAAUAACUACUUUAACAGGUAUUUAUUAUGAAUGGCAGUUAUAAAUGUAAGACGAAUUACAUUAUUGCUUAGCCUUCAUCAGAAACAGUAAUUUUUUUUAGAUACUUUAACAAAAUUGCUGGACUUGUGCACUUGUGGACUUGUGCAAAAUUACUGUAUUUGUAAUCAAAAACAUGCAAAUUGAGGGUACAUAUAUAUUUAUAUGUACCCUCAACUUGCAUGUCUUUGAUGACAAAUGUGAGAGAUAUCUUUGAGUACAUGGGUGGAAUUUCAGAUUUGAGACAUACAAAAUGGGUUUCUAGGAAUUUGGAGGAGAUUAUUACAAAAUGUCUGAACAUAUUAAAUUUUGUGUUUACAUAUAUUCUUUCUCUUUUUCAAUAAAUUAAACUGAUGAACCCAUGCAUCUUCAAGGUUAAAGAUUAGCCUGCCUUAAUUUGAUCCACACCUGCUUUUUGAACAUCCCAUUUCAUAUUUACUGUUAUAAUAAUCUCCACUCUUCUGGGAAGGUUUUUCACUAGAUUUUGGAGCAUGGCUGUGGGGAUUUGCCCAUUCAGCAACAAGAGCAUUAGUGAGGUAGGCUCUUGUGGCACUGAUGUCUGGAUGAGGAGGUCUGGGGUGCAGUGUUCCAGUUCAUCCCAAAGGUGUUCAGUGGGGUUGAGGUCAGGGCUCUGUGCAGGACACUCGAGUUCUUCCACUCCAACCUUAACACACCAUGUCUUCAUGGAGCUCACUUUGUGCACAGGGGCAUUGUCAUGCUGGAACAGGUUUUAGUUCCAGUGAAGGGAAAUUGCAAUGCUACAGCAUACAAAGACAUUCUGUACAAUUGUGUGCCUCCAACUUUGUGGCAACAGUUUGGGAAAGAACCACAUACGCAUGUGAUGGUCAGGUGUCCACAUACAUUUGACCAUUUAGUGUAUGUAAAAUAAAUAAGUAAAAAUAGAUCCCUGUACAAGGUAUGGUAGCAUGGUAACUUGUUUAUAAGGAGAGUGUGUUAGUACAGUGGUCACAGAGAAUAAAUGUUUUGCAUUAAGGAAGGGAAUUUCAUAUUUUCUGUUCUGUUCUUGUGACAGUAUUCCAUCACAUUUGUUUUACAUCUUAUUGAAACCCCUUAUAGACCCUGAUAGCUGGUUGGGAUGAGCUGGAAUGUCAGCGUGUAUUUAACUUUUUGUGUAAAACCACACAUCUUCAGUGGAAAAUAGAGGCAGCUGUUGCAAGCAAGCCAGAGGUGUCAUGUUUGAUCAGUGGAAAAACAGAAGGGAUGCUCAUUUCUGGCUUACAUGCAUCCUCAGACCCUGGCCAAUCAUCAGCCAAGCUCGUCUACUCUUUAUCCUCUUUGGCCCACUGCAGUCAGAUGGUAACAUUUCAACAUCUUUCAGUUUUGACUGUGCCAUAGCCAAAAAAUGCUCAGUGUGUAGUUUCAUGCUUCCUCUGGAACAUUACUGUAAAACACCAAGAACACCUGAUGGAAAAUAUAUCUUAUUUGCAGAUACAAAUAGCCACUUGAAAAAAAUGAAAUGUAUUAUUCUUCAGAAUGCUGGAUUAUAGCAAUCAAUAGCUAUGGUAAUACUCGAACACCUAGAUAAUAAACUGCCUGUCAAGCAUUACACUUUAGUCCAUUUUGUAUUAUUGAGUGACACUCUCUGCUCAGCAUAUUAAAUAACAUGCUCUGUAAGUUUAGCUGUAACUCAGAAUUCACUUCGGAUUGCAUCAAGCAUCACGUCAAGACCUCAGUCAGUCAACACUGGAUAUGUCUCAGCUUUAUUUCUUGACAGGGUACUGGCAGGAGAAAGAGCAACACUCUGGAUUUAACUGUACACCCAGUCUUUAAUGAUGCCCAUUUCAGAUCAGUAUCCUAUAUGGGUUUUUAUGGAGAGGACUUAAGUGACUUAAGAUGAGGGGGGAGUUGCCAUGCCAUGCUUAGGCGCUCAUACCGGUGUCGCCUCUUGAGAGCAUGUUAGUUCAGUGGACAUAUCAUGGUGUAAUAACUUAAUACAGUCAUGGGAAAAAGAAAGUACACCCUCCUUUAAUUCUUUACAACAGAUGUUCAGUGAUGUUUGAGGGCAUUUGUUUAUGCACAGCUCUCUUAAGAUCCCACCAAUCAUCAAUCAGCUUGGCCAGUCAUCACUUUGAUUUUUUUCUUCUUCAGCCAUUCAGAUGUUGAUUUGCUGCUGUAGUUGGGAUCAUUGUCCUGUAG